CAGAAGGGAGGCAGCAGGGAGGAAUAUGAGUCAAUGGAAAAGAGUCUGAACCCUCCCCCCCUCUUUCCGUCUUCCUUCCCUCUUUUUUUUCCCCUUCUUUUCUCUUUUAAUAAAAUGUUCCACGUGUGGGAUUUUGUAUGUACCAUAUGAAUAAGGAUCGGCUAACUCCGUGCCAGCAGCCGCGGUAAUACGGAGGAUCCGAGCGUUAUCCGGAUUUAUUGGGUUUAAAGGGAGCGUAGGUGGAUUGUUAAGUCAGUUGUGAAAGUUUGCGGCUCAACCGUAAAAUUGCAGUUGAAACUGGCAGUCUUGAGUACAGUAGAGGUGGGCGGAAUUCGUGGUGUAGCGGUGAAAUGCUUAGAUAUCACGAAGAACUCCGAUUGCGAAGGCAGUUCACUGGACUGCAACUGACACUGAGGCUCGAAAGUGUGGGUAUCAAACAGGAUUAGAUACACGGGUAGUC
RNAcentral lists this ribosomal RNA (460 nucleotides) under uncultured bacterium. Its description in RNAcentral is "partial 16S ribosomal RNA". It matches the Rfam family "Bacterial small subunit ribosomal RNA", at positions 338 to 795 of the family's 1533-position model. The record is from RNAcentral.